Molecule: long non-coding RNA, 1589 nt
Organism: Oncorhynchus tshawytscha (Chinook salmon)
Lineage: Eukaryota; Metazoa; Chordata; Actinopteri; Salmoniformes; Salmonidae
Source: Ensembl
CUGGACGUGGUGUUGUGAUUCGGCCGCUCACUGGGCAGAAGUCGCUGUUGGGAGAGAGAGAGAGCGAGAGAGAGAGAGAGAUAGAGACAUACAGACAGAGAGAGAGAAGGGGAGAGAGACAGAGAGAGAGCAAGAGACAGACAGACAGAGGGAGAGAGAGAGUGAGAGACAGACAGACAGAGGGAGAGAGAGAGCGAGAGACAGACAGAGAGACAGAGGGAGAGAGAGAGCGAGAGACAGACAGAGAGACAGAGGGAGAGAGAGAGCGAGAGACAGAGGGAGAGAGCGAGAGACAGACAGACAGAGAGACAGAGGGAGAGAGAGAGCGAGAGACAGACAGAGAGACAGAGGGAGAGAGAGAGCGAGAGACAGACAGACAGAGAGACAGAGGGAGAGAGAGAGCGAGAGACAGACAGACAGAGAGACAGAGGGAGAGACAGAGGGAGAGAGAGAGCGAGAGACAGACAGACAGAGAGACAGGGAGAGAGAGAGAGCGAGAGAGAGACAGAGGGAGAGAGAGAGAGAGAGACAGACAGACAGAGAGACAGAGAGAGAGAGAGAGAGACAGACAGAGAGAAAGAGAUAGAGAGAUGAGGUAGAGACAGACAGACAGAGAGAAAGAGAGACAGAGAGAUGAGGUAGAGACAGACAGACAGAGAGAAAGAGAUAGAGAGAUGAGGUAGAGACAGACAGACAGAGAGAAAGAGAGACAGAGAGAUGAGGUAGAGACAGAAAGAAAAAAACGAUUGAGUUAUUAACAGAGCGAGAGAGGAGAGGAGGGCAGUUUGACCCACAAUGCAUUGCGGUGCGUUGUGACCCGCGUUGGGGCUCUCUCACUCAGUCCCAGUGUCACAUCAGCGUUCUACAGAUACACAGGUAAGAAGGCACAGACACAAGGGACUUAAGAGCCACCUUACUUUAACAUUUGAAACAUAUACCUGUUUUUGGAUUUCAACUAUUAUAUUUACUUGUAGAUAUAUUUUUUAAUUGUUCUCUGUCAAACUAUACUGCAUAUUGACAAAUAUAUGAACAAACUAUAAUGAUAACCGUACAGUGCAGUGUCAAUGAUACACUUUCAUUCUGGUGAUUUUGUGGGAUUCUGUUUUCAAAAGAGAAGAUAUUUUAUACAUUUUAUGGAACUAAAAGUCCUCUAGCCGUAUAUCUGCUACAUAGCAAAACUUUAUUUUGUAUUUUUAAAAUGUCUUAAACUUGACUUUUGUAAGGGUGUCUGUCUGCCUGUAUCCCCACACUUCUCCUGGUGUGAAGGAUUUCAGGUUGAGAUGGUGACGUUUUGUAAGGGUGUCUGUCUGCCUGUAUCCCUACACUUCCCCUGGUGUGAAGGAUUUCAGGUUGAGAUGGUGACAUUUUAAAAUGGUUUGCAACUAUUUCCCUGCUUCGAACAAGGAGUGUAACCUGCCUGGAUAUAAUAGCACACUGCACAGCCAAAUGAAGUAUAUCUUCACACAGGGUGUUUCCAUUCAUUUUCAUAUAAUCUGAGAUGAGGCCGAGGUAAGCGAUAUGCAGCUGUAUACAUGGUGUUUGCAGCUCGAGACAAUAUGGCCUCUCUGUUUCCUAAAAGGGGAAUUCAG